Long non-coding RNA from Carya illinoinensis, 1069 nucleotides. RefSeq lists it as uncharacterized. The transcript has 3 exons. NCBI's taxonomy places the organism in Eukaryota, Viridiplantae, Streptophyta, Magnoliopsida, Fagales, Juglandaceae. The record is from RefSeq and is a predicted model, not a curated record.
CUUCCCUGCAUAAAGACGAGUUAGUUUGGUCCAUGCUUCAUGAGAUGUUUUACAGGAAGCAAACAGCGGCGUGAUGGUGGUGGAGGUGGGAGCUAGCAAGGCAUGAAGGAUCAAUUUAUCUUGGCGAAUCCAGUGGGAAUUCAUUGCUUUGGAAGUGGCCAAAUUUUCUUCAUCAAUGAUAGGGUAUUGAAGAUCGCCGGUAACAAAAUUCAUGAGAUCAUAGCCAAUAAGCAAUGCUUCAAACUGGGCUCUCCAUUGUGGAAAGGUAGAUGGCGUAAGUUUCUCAUUGAUGAUGUUGGCAGCAUUAAUGGUGAUAAUAGGGGUAUUAGAGGGUGAGGAAGAAGGGGCUCCAAUAGGGGAAGUCAUUGCCAAGGAUGAUGAAAGGCCUUCUUUGUAUGGCUUCCCUGCUGCUUGAACUUUAUCUUAUGUGUAGGCUGUGAUUUCUUAUGGUCGAGAGGAAACUUCUCAAUGUCAAUGGAAGAAUUUGAGUUCUCACACCAUCCUCGUAUAAUUACAUGACCCGCUCACUGUCAAACUAGGGCCAUCAACAUUUGCAAUACAUGAGUUGCACUUACAUGAUGUGAACUUGAGAGAAUUGCUGAUUAGAUUUGCAAAUAUUUGAACAGCUCUAGCAGAGUCUCCUCGAACUAAUUUUGGUAUAUUAUCUAAACAGGAAACAGAGAGAGUGAAAAUCCACAUCAGAAACAGACAGUUAUAGUUAAAAAUGAUAAGCUUUGACCAUUAUCUGAGUUGUCUUCAUCUGAGAUUUAAGGUCAUACCGGAGAGAUCCAAAACAGUUUCCACAUUGUGGUUAAUGCACUGCACAGAGAACAUAUCAACAAGUCCUUCAAGUUCUCUCCCCAAAUCAAAUUCUGCAUCUUCCAACACCAGCUUCCCAGAUUCAACCUAUACGGUAUAUUUUUAAUUUCAUUUCAGGAGUGCACCAGGUAGAACAAGUUAUGUGAUUUCGAGUUUUAUUUAAUCACAAAUUCAUAAUGUUUCUGUAACAAUUAAAAUUGAAGAAGUAUAUAUUAUUGGAAACCUCCUCGACAAACAUCAGGUUCAUACA